RNAcentral lists this ribosomal RNA (292 nucleotides) under uncultured bacterium. Its description in RNAcentral is "partial 16S ribosomal RNA". It matches the Rfam family "Bacterial small subunit ribosomal RNA", at positions 505 to 796 of the family's 1533-position model. The record is from RNAcentral.
GUGUCAGCAGCCGCGGUAAUACGUAGGUGGCAAGCGUUGUCCGGAUUUACUGGGCGUAAAGGGCGUGCAGGCGGUCUGUUAAGUGCAGGGUGAAAGCUCCCGGCUCAACUGGGAGAGGUCCUUGCAUACUGGCGGACUUGAGGGGGGUAGAGGAAAGUGGAAUUCCCGGUGUAGUGGUGAUAUGCGUAGAUAUCGGGAGGAACACCUGUGGCGAAGGCGGCUUUCUGGGCCCUACCUGACGCUGAGACGCGAAAGCGUGGGGAGCGAACCGGAUUAGAUACCCGUGUAGUCC